Apis mellifera (honey bee) is the source of this 482-nucleotide long non-coding RNA. RefSeq lists it as uncharacterized. The transcript is spliced from 2 exons. NCBI's taxonomy places the organism in Eukaryota, Metazoa, Arthropoda, Insecta, Hymenoptera, Apidae. The record is from RefSeq and is a predicted model, not a curated record.
UAGCCAACUGUUUCCAAUCCAACAAUUAUUAUUAUGGAAAUUAUUCCAGAAUUUUCCAUCAGCUAUUCCAUCAGUGGUGGAAGAGACUCGACGAAGGGAAGGAGGAGAAUAAAACACGAGAUUUUCGUCACUGUGCUCGUCUUGUCUAACACUCGACUUCACGCUCGACUUUACACCGGAACAGAACGAUCGCAGCGACGCUGUCUCCGUUUCCUCUCCUGCCCCUCUCCCUCUCCCUCGAUUUCACUGCACACUCAGAGACGAUUUAGCAUCGACGAUUGUUGCGUGUUCUAAAAAGUAACGGCCUCGUGCUUGGACGACGCGGCGUCACGUCGCGAGAAGCGAAAAGUGCGUUCGUCGUAUCCCGUUAUCCAGUGGUGUGCAGACUCGACGCCGAUUCGACAGGGAUCGUAAAAUAUUUUGGGUCAUGCUCGAGGCGCAUUGUCAGCGCUUAUUUUUCGGGGAUUUAAAAGGAUCCGCGA